AUGAACGCUGGCGGCGUGCCUAAUACAUGCAAGUCGAGCGAACGGACGAGAAGCUUGCUUCUCUGAUGUUAGCGGCGGACGGGUGAGUAACACGUGGAUAACCUACCUAUAAGACUGGGAUAACUUCGGGAAACCGGAGCUAAUACCGGAUGAUAUUUUGAACCGCAUGGUUCAAAAGUGAAAGACGGUCUUGCUGUCACUUAUAGAUGGGUCCGCGCUGCAUUAGCUAGUUGGUAAGGUAACGGCUUACCAAGGCAACGAUGCAUAGCCGACCUGAGAGGGUGAUCGGCCACACUGGAACUGAGACACGGUCCAGACUCCUACGGGAGGCAGCAGUAGGGAAUCUUCCGCAAUGGGCGAAAGCCUGACGGAGCAACGCCGCGUGAGUGAUGAAGGUCUUCGGAUCGUAAAACUCUGUUAUUAGGGAAGAACAUAUGUGUAAGUAACUGUGCACAUCUUGACGGUACCUAAUCAGAAAGCCACGGCUAACUACGUG
RNAcentral lists this ribosomal RNA (496 nucleotides) under uncultured bacterium. RNAcentral's name for it is "partial 16S ribosomal RNA". It matches the Rfam family "Bacterial small subunit ribosomal RNA", at positions 29 to 507 of the family's 1533-position model. The record is from RNAcentral.